ACACAGCCCUCAGUCCUAAAGGCUGGUCUCACUCCCAUCCUGCCACGCAACAGCACAGGGUCUAUUUCGAGACAGCCAGUGACCAGGGCUGAGAACUUGCCCCAGACCACCAGCCUCCUCACUGAGAAAGCAAGCAGAAUCACAGUUUUUUGGAAUCUCAGGGAGCCUUCAGCGGCAAUCCAGUUCCUUCAAAGGGUCUGUGGAUUCUCUCAGUUUUCAUGAAACCAGCCAAGGCAAUGUGAAGGAUUCCAAGAGAGGCAAUAUGGAUGAAACCAUUUAUUAGAUUUAUAAGAGCUGAAGGAAAGUGGGGUGUCAGCUGUGACCCUCGAAGGAAAGGGAUCACCCUCUUUCUGACCCUAUACCACCUUCAGCAGGGAUGAAGGCAGUCAGAGAAAACUUAGUUAAAAAAUUUCUAAACUGCUUUGCUGAUUUGAUCUGGGGCCCUGGAGUGCCAACAUCCUGUGAUAGCGGCUGAUUGUUGAUGCCUGGGAGGAUACAGCAGUGACGAUCCAAAUUUACAAGACUCAACAUGGUUUUCAAAACUUCCUUUUAAAAAAGAUGUUCCUGAGUUCUGGAAUCUGAACAAAAUAUGUCUGGUUAUUAUAUAAUUCUAAUGGUCCUUGUGGAUGCUACCAUUAGAGUUCAGUUAGUGUCUCAUCUAUCACUGUAAUAUUUGUAUUGUAACACUAAUCGUGGCAAAGUAUGAUUUGAUAAAUGCUCAUUCUCAAAUCU
RNAcentral lists this long non-coding RNA (732 nucleotides) under Homo sapiens (human). Its description in RNAcentral is "HSALNT0297874". The record is from RNAcentral. Lineage: Eukaryota; Metazoa; Chordata; Mammalia; Primates; Hominidae.